AGAGUUUGAUCAUGGCUCAGAACGAACGCUGGCGGCAGGCCUAAUACAUGCAAGUCGAGCGCGCCCUUCGGGGUGAGCGGCGGACGGGUGAGUAACGCGUGGGAAUAUGCCCUUCUCUAAGGAAUAGCCUCUGGAAACGGAGAGUAAUACCUUAUACGCCCUUUUGGGGAAAGAUUUAUCGGAGAAGGAUUAGCCCGCGUUAGAUUAGGUAGUUGGUGGGGUAAUGGCCUACCAAGCCUACGAUCUAUAGCUGGUUUGAGAGGAUGAUCAGCCACACUGGGACUGAGACACGGCCCAGACUCCUACGGGAGGCAGCAGUAGGGAAUCUUAGACAAUGGGGGCAACCCUGAUCUAGACCAUGCCGCGUGUGUGAUGAAGAGCCCUAGGG
This 388-nucleotide ribosomal RNA is filed under the name uncultured bacterium. RNAcentral's name for it is "bacterial SSU rRNA". It matches the Rfam family "Bacterial small subunit ribosomal RNA", at positions 8 to 422 of the family's 1533-position model. The record is from RNAcentral.